GCUGGGCGUGGUGGCGCGUGCCUGUAGUCCCAGUUACUCAGGAGGCUGAGGCCGGAGAAUUGCUUGAACCUGGGAGACCGAGACUACAGUGAGUCAAGACCGCACCAUUGUACUCCAGCCUGGGUGACAGAGCAAGACUCCGUCUCAA
This is an unclassified non-coding RNA of Pongo abelii (Sumatran orangutan), 148 nucleotides long. It matches the Rfam family "Metazoan signal recognition particle RNA". From Rfam's summary of the family: The signal recognition particle (SRP) is a universally conserved ribonucleoprotein. It is involved in the co-translational targeting of proteins to membranes. The record is from Ensembl. Lineage: Eukaryota; Metazoa; Chordata; Mammalia; Primates; Hominidae.